AUUUUGGCAGAAUUUAUUAUAGAUAACAUUGCGUUUCUGGUGGCAUUACAAAGGAUGAAAGCUCCAUUAACCUGUUAAGCACAGAGGGUAUAAAAAUGGUAAUUGGUAGAAAAUCGUGGAGACCAGCGGGGAGGUUUUGCCGCAGUGCUGUGUCCUCUGUAGGUGAGGGAGAAGCAGGUAGCUGUUGCUGCUGGAGGUCAGCUCCAUGUCAUUCCAGCCUGGGUCUCUUAUGGAAACUUCUGAAAAGGAGAAGUUUUCCUUUGCAUUUACAAACAGAACAGGAGAUGAGCUUUCUGCAGUCAGAGGCCGUCCUGCUACUGUGUUUCAAGAAUUCCCAAGGAAGGAAAGUGGACCGAGGAUACAAUCACUGGAACAAAACAUCAGCUUACGGUGGUUUUCAGGGUUCCUGAAAAGCAUCAGAAUGCAUUGAAAACAUUUCUUAGGGUGAUGGAAGAGAAGAUCAAAGCUGCAGCUGGGACUGGGUGCCAGUGCUGUCAGCUUCAAACACUGGUGUGCCGUUGAGGAAGACAAG
This 532-nucleotide long non-coding RNA is filed under the name Oryctolagus cuniculus (rabbit). Its description in RNAcentral is "lncRNA (ENSOCUG00000037668.1)". Lineage: Eukaryota; Metazoa; Chordata; Mammalia; Lagomorpha; Leporidae. The record is from RNAcentral.